This is a long non-coding RNA of Nicotiana tabacum (common tobacco), 462 nucleotides long. RefSeq lists it as uncharacterized. NCBI's taxonomy places the organism in Eukaryota, Viridiplantae, Streptophyta, Magnoliopsida, Solanales, Solanaceae. The record is from RefSeq and is a predicted model, not a curated record.
UUGACUUAGUCUUCCAUAAACUCCCCAUUUUCAUUCUUUCAAGAAAAAGAAAAAUACCCCUACCCUCUCUACUUCUUAUCACCUGAAAACUUAAUGAAAACUACCAUAAAUUUUCACUAAACCAACCAGCAAAAUUCAUUCUUGGUGAAGCUCAAGUUGCUCAUCUCUUUUGUGGUAUAUAUAUCCUUGUAAAAGCUAAGGGAAAGUAUUUGAGGAAGUGGACGGAUUUGGUUUGUCUAGGGCGUAGACGAUUCGAACGUCCUCAAGUUGUGGUUGAACUAUUUUGUGAUAAAACACCAAGGUAAUGUACGGGAUGGAAUUUGAAGACGGCCUUAUGAAGUAGUCUUUUUGGGAGCACUUAUGGAGAUCACAUUUGCAUAUGCAUCAUGGUUUUGUAUAGUUUUGGGACUUGUACAUGAUAUAUAUGUCACACUUAUGUAUGUUAUUUGGAGGCUUGGAUAU